GAUGAAGAACGUAGUGAAAUGCGAUAAGUAAUGCGAAUUGCAGAAUCCGUGAAUCAUCGAAUCUUUGAACGCACAUUGCGCCCCCUGGUAUUCCGGGGGGCAUGCCUGUCCGAGCGUCAUUACAACCCUCAAGCUCAGCUUGGUGUUGGGCCCCGCCGCCCCGGCGGGCCCUAAAGUCAGUGGCGGUGCCGUCCGGCUCCGAGCGUAGUAAUUCUUCUCGCUCUGGAGGUCCGGUCGUGUGCUCGCCAGCAACCCCCAAAUUUUUUCAGGUUGACCUCGGAUCAGGUAGGGAUACCCGCUGAACUUAAGCAUAUCAAUAAGCGGAGGA
RNAcentral lists this unclassified non-coding RNA (328 nucleotides) under soil metagenome. Its description in RNAcentral is "partial contains 5.8S ribosomal RNA, internal transcribed spacer 2, and large subunit ribosomal RNA". The stretch from base 1 to 119 matches the Rfam family "5.8S ribosomal RNA", at positions 35 to 154 of the family's 154-position model. The record is from RNAcentral.